AAUGUAGAAAUGAACUCUUGUCAGAAUUUCAAAGGAAUUAUAUUUUGGUAAAAUGUGCUAAUGUAAAGAGUGAGAAGAUUAGUGAUGCAUAAUGAAUGAAAUGCAUUCUUUUACAUGGAAAUAGGAAAAGAAUAAAUGUCCUGCAGGUGACUGGGGCUGUAACAAUUUUAUUUAAGAUUAAAGUCUGAUUGACCCUUGUUAGAAUGAUUAACCUUUCUGAAAUUAGAGGCUAUAUCUGAAUUAGUGAGUCCAAUUUAAAUGCAAA
This 265-nucleotide long non-coding RNA is filed under the name Chinchilla lanigera (long-tailed chinchilla). Its description in RNAcentral is "Rhabdomyosarcoma 2 associated transcript conserved region 7 (ENSCLAG00000020601.1)". It matches the Rfam family "Rhabdomyosarcoma 2 associated transcript conserved region 7". Lineage: Eukaryota; Metazoa; Chordata; Mammalia; Rodentia; Chinchillidae. The record is from RNAcentral.